AACCAUUGUGCUGUAUGUGAAAGAAGCCCAAAGAAGUCUCCAGUAAUGCACUCUUACCAGUGUGGCCGUGUGGGUAAUGGCACCAUAAGAAGCUUCUUUAUGGUCAUCAAGCUGAAGUCUUUUCGUUUGACAUUCUCAGCCGUGAAAAUCAGCCAUAAACGUACAGUGAGAUGGGUCUUGGAAUUCAUACUGCAUAAGAAUUGCUUUGUUCAUGAAAACCAUUGCCAUAGACAGGACUCAAUAGGGAAAGGCUGCAGCUAAGAUGCAAAAACAUAUAUACAGGGAAAUGGUCAGAACUUCCAAGAAACUUGGAUCUACAAUCUCGUAUAAAUCAGUUGCUGUAUACAAAAAAUCGAAAGAAAAAUGCUCUUGAAAAUGUCUACUCCAACAUUAGGUCCUGAAUUACAAAUGUGUUGAACCAUUAUUAUUUUCUAAACUACUCGUGGCCCUAGUAAUAAAGAAGAUGGGCCUCAAGAUUUUACUGAGAUUAAUACAAACUUAGAAGCCCUGGGAAAAGAAAAAAAUCUAGUACUCCAAUAACCAAACAAGAAUAAUACAGACUCAGAGUGCAUUUGAUUUACUAAGGCUAAUCCCAGUGGGAGUUUCAUAGAGGUUUCAUGCACAUUAAAUACGGUGACACAUCAGCAUAUGUGAUGACAUGGCAUGGUAGUUAUGAAGUAAGAGAGGGAAGGAGUUUCAUCAGGAUGAAACUGUGUAUACACUGUUUCCAAGACUAUGAAACCUAUUGAAACUUGCAUUGGGGGCUAUAGAGUUUCAUCUCAUCUAACCAUAUCCAAUCACAUGCCUCACAAUUAAAUGUCAUAGGCAUCCUAUGAAAUCGUGAAAUGAAACUGUGCACUGGGACUCCCUAUUUCAUUCAUGAGAAUACAUCUCAAAUGAUGAUGUGGCAUCCUUGGAAACAGUGCAAUGAAACCUUGCACUGGGACUAGCCUAAGAUGCAGAAAAUGUGUGACCAUUUAUUCAGUAAUAAAGGGCGCUAAAUUCCAAGGCCUCUAUGAGCAUAAUAAUCAGCCAACGAACCAUAUUUUGCAUGUGAGCAUUAGGUUGCAGAACACCAAUGAAGGCAACUUUGCUUGAGGGCUGGUUGAAAAAAUCAUUGCCUACCAGUUAUAAUCAAUGUGUGAUAGGAAAAAUAAUAUUCAAAAAUGCAAUAUUCUACUUAAUUCACAGCGUAUAUGCAUUUGCUCAAGCACCUGACGCGCAAGUGCAACCAAGUACUGCUGUAACCAAAUAUUCUACUUCCUGCUACACCUGAAGCAGACGAGGAGAGAAGAGAUAGUCGCACAGUAUCCUUACUAUGAAGCAGCCUAGUUGGUGGCUAUCAUCUUCCGCUACGGCAGCGUCGAUGACCCCGGAGUACUUGGCGGCAACAUCUCGCGACAGCGUCCUCGCCUCAUGCCUCAAUGUGCCACUGCACACCUGCCACGGCAGAUGGAGGCAGCCCCAGUCGCCGUGCAGUAGGUGCGGGGGAGACGCCGAUGAGUAGGGGCCACUCGUCAAGCUGGCCGCGCCGUCCAAUUCUAGCCACUGGAGAUCGAAAUUGAAUAGAAAAAAAAAAUACACGCUAUGGAAUCAAACGGGAAACAAGGAAAAUGAUCACGAAACAAAGACAUUGCAACAAUCUACGGCCAACGUUGUUCUAUAACCUGCACAAAUCAACGGUACUUCCGCGGGAAAUCAAUCAAAAUCAACUGAAAUCAUACGGGAGGAGACUGGAAGGAACCUUGCAAUGGGGGAGAAUAGCUCCUUAAUCCGAAUAAAUCCACGCCGAAGGGGAGGGAUAGGAAGCUGCUGCCAUCGAGGAGCAACGCCUCAAAUGCGAUUCAUGUCCUGGCGAGCGGGAUUGGAAGGGGGAACUGGUGAGGAAAGAAAUUGGAGGCUGCCGUAAGGGACGGGUAGGAACCUGCCGCCGCCGAGCUUCAACUCCGCAAAUGCGUCUCCAAUCUAGGUCAGCUGGUUGGUAGGGUGUACAAACUGCCGACAAGUUUGGACCUCAGCCCCUCACGCUUGUGUGCUAGUGGCGGCAGUUUCGGGGAGACGGGCGGCGCCGAGAAACGGGAUCUAGCGGCGGGGGAGGAACCGGCGCCGAGAACCGGGGUUCACGCGAUGGGUCCUUCCACGGCAGAUUGACGACGAUAACUUGUGUAAGAGCUAAGUAGAACUCACCGCGGUGGAGUUCCUCACUGGCAGCGUCGGAGCGCGAGGAUUUGAGCGGCCGAUGGCAAGAGCAACACCAACACCUAGCGCUGGUGGAGACCUAGCUACGGUAGGCUCCUGCGGUGUACAGCACUGCGUCGACAAGGUGAGGAACCGCGUCGACGGAAGGAUGGGGAGGGCGCGGCUGCGCGGGGACGGAACGGCGGGGCUGGCGGCCGGCGAGCGGUGGCCGGGAGGGAGAGAGUCGUGGCCAGCAGGGAAAGAGUCGGGCAAAGACAGGAACUGCACGGUAUGUGGACCCACGAUCUGAAUUAGUUCGUAACGUGGGAUCGACCGAAGUAAAAAGGUUGAAAAAAUUGGUAGAAAAAACCAGGGACUAGCCGUGGUGCGAGCCGGUUGGAGGGAGGGCCCGGGUACAUAAUAUUAUUCCAGGGUAUUAUAUAUAUAACGAGCGUAAAAUGCAUCUCGUAAGAAAUACACAGAC
This 2662-nucleotide long non-coding RNA is filed under the name Setaria italica (foxtail millet). RNAcentral describes it as "long non-coding RNA (SITA_LNC002285)". The record is from RNAcentral. Lineage: Eukaryota; Viridiplantae; Streptophyta; Magnoliopsida; Poales; Poaceae.